RNAcentral lists this transfer RNA (73 nucleotides) under Felis catus (domestic cat). It matches the Rfam family "tRNA". Rfam says of the family: Transfer RNA (tRNA) molecules are approximately 80 nucleotides in length. Lineage: Eukaryota; Metazoa; Chordata; Mammalia; Carnivora; Felidae. RNAcentral also lists the same sequence under 3 other names. The record is from Rfam by way of RNAcentral.
ACCUGGCUGGCUCAGUCGGUGGAGCAUGAGACUUGUGAUCUUGGGGUUGUGAGUUUGAGCACCACGUUGGGUG